ACGAACGCUGGCGGCGUGCCUAACACAUGCAAGUCGAGCGGGAAUUGUUUCGGAUCAAUUUCUAGCGGCGGACGGGUGAGUAACGCGUGAGCAACCUUUCUCUCAGUGGGGAAUAACACAGGGAAACUUGUACUAAUACCGCAUGAGACCACAAUGUCGCAUGGCAUAGGGGGUCAAAGAUUUAUUGCUGAGAGGUGGGCUCGCGUCUGAUUAGGUAGUUGGUGAGGUAACGGCCCACCAAGUCGACGAUCAGUAGCCGGACUGAGAGGUUGAACGGCCACAUUGGGACUGAGAUACGGCCCAGACUCCUACGGGAGGCAGCAGUCGGGAAUAUUGCGCAAUGGAGGAAACUCUGACGCAGUGACGCCGCGUAUAGGAAGAAGGUUUUCGGAUUGUAAACUAUUGUCGUUAGGGAAGAUACAAGACAGUACCUAAGGAGGAAGCCCCGGCUAACUAUGUG
This 460-nucleotide ribosomal RNA is filed under the name uncultured bacterium. Its description in RNAcentral is "bacterial SSU rRNA". It matches the Rfam family "Bacterial small subunit ribosomal RNA", at positions 29 to 507 of the family's 1533-position model. The record is from RNAcentral.